This 2359-nucleotide long non-coding RNA is filed under the name Cricetulus griseus (Chinese hamster). RNAcentral describes it as "lncRNA (ENSCGRG00015034851.1)". Lineage: Eukaryota; Metazoa; Chordata; Mammalia; Rodentia; Cricetidae. The record is from RNAcentral.
UGGAGGCCCAAACUGGGAAAGUCAAAACUCCAAUAGACCCCUUUCUCUAAACCUGUCCAGUGGGUUCCUUUUAGGGCAACUCUACAUCUCAGCUCUUGCUCAAGCAAGGAGAGACUACAGAAAAAGUAGGAGAAAGCCUGAGGAAGGCUAGCUAGGAAAAGGCAAGAUGGAAGGCAAACAAACCAGCAGGAACUGCCUGGGGACAAGAAAAGCUUGAGGAUGAACAAGAGAGUGGGGGUAGCUUGGUUGAACAUUCACACUACUGAUGCCAUGGUGAGCCUUCCAAGAAUUGCUGUUGGGGGGUGAGGGGAUUCAGAUUCCCUGAGUUAGGGAUAUCUGGCAGCUGCUGCCUCUGAAGCCAGAUGUACAGCCAGAGAAGGCAGUAGCCUUUCAGCCUUUCCAGUUGAUGUUAAGAAGCCCACCCAGAGUCUAGAAGUGCACCCCGUUGUCUGUUCUCCCUUGAAGUGGCACAGUGCUAUGUAACCUAGCAAGGGACAGGGCUUCCAGCUCAGGCCUCCUGAAUGACUGUGUUGGAAACAACCCUGACAUAGUCACCUCGGUGACAAGGCCUUACAUUGCCUUUCUGCAAAAUGAUCCUUCCAAAGCCGUAGACACUCUAGGCAGCUUCCCCCAGUGCUAUUCCAUUACUGCCCCAUACACCUCCGACUGCAAGAAAAAGCAGGCUGAACAGAGGCACCUGGACACACUUUAUUCUGAUAAUCUACUUUGGGAAGGAGGGUGGAGAGAAGGGUGCCUGAACCUCCCUCCCUUCUUGAUACAUUUGAGCCUGACAGGAGGAAAACUGCAGCCACUGUGGAUACCAAUAUACCCUCCACCCUUUCGGGACCGAAACAGAAGAAACCUGGAAAAGGCUUAGUUUGUUUUGCUGAUCAAAUUUCCUUCUUAGCCUCUCGGCCCCACAAGCCUAACUCGUUGGCCACGUCCAAACGCUGGGCCUGGAGCCUUGGUCAAGCGCUAAGGGGGUUCUGCCUAGAUCUUGAAGUUGGGAAAAACAAGAGGAGAUUGAACCGGCUCCCCCCCUUCUUUACAGACACACACGCACCGUCAGGCCGCGGCCACUUCCUGCCUUUGUUUUUCUUCCUCCAAACAUUUUUUUUUGGCCUCUUGCAUUAGCCGCCGUAGGGCUCCGGGUUGACGAUUAAAGGAAAUAAACGUUGAAGAGUGUUUUCUAGAGACGGCCCGCGCUCUGUGUAGUUCUUGAGAAAGAACAGCUCCCGGGAAACCAAUGUCCAGGGCCAAUGUCAUAGCCUUGCCCGAGCCGCCUCUUCUAAGAAUGGAACUCGGACUUGGCCUUCCGGUGUGGUCUUAUCCCUAGUCCGGUCUUUCCCAGAGCCUGGUUGGCUGAGAUCAACCUUCGACCUCCUGCAAAGCCAAAGAGUCAGUUAGGCUCAGAGCUAAGUGAAAACCAAGGACCCGCAGAACCACCUCCCUUUCUUCCCCCAGAUUGGGUCCGAACCUCAGAGCAGCUCCCGCCCUGUACGCUGAAGCCUGCCGGAAGAACAUUCACUCUACCAGGUUUAAACAGGACAGGACCAGGCAAAACGGCUUCUAUUGAGCAUUCUCGGGGAUUUGAGCAUCCCAUCUCUUGUCUCUGCUUAAAGAACUAACAGCAAUCGGCAGCUCCAGAGCUCCAGGCCAUUUCCCUUCUGUUGCCUUCAAAAGCCUUUUCCUCACCCAUCUUCACCGCAGCGCCCCCACACGCUCCCUUCGAGGAUGCAAAUCCCUCCGGGUACCCCUCUUCUCUACAGCCUGUCGAGUUGCUUUGCCAACCACUCGUGGAGCACCUUCUUCGCCCACAGCCUUUCCUGCGGAAUUUGUCUUGUCUUCUGCAGACGCCCAUGGGAUACCUACCUGCCGGCUCCCAUUCAACUAGCCCUCGAUGAGAAUCUAGGGAGUACUGGCUGUGCGGGGCAUUGCACAGUGCCACACCGACCUUUCUGCGGGUAUCCCUUCUCCCUGUCAUCCCGAGAAGUCGAGCUAAUUAUGAGAGAAAGCUGCCAUGUAGUCAGGGGCGGCGGCCUUGCAUCCCCCGCGGCUGGGCCACCUCGGCCCCACUGCUCAGGCACAAGCUGAAGUUGACUGCCAAAACUGCUAUAAAACCGCAGGACCAUCCUGUAGUUUCCAUCCCCAGGUUUAGAAGAAGGCCUGAAGCUACCCUUCCUGCAACAACCUUUCUCCCUGCUAGAUCUCCUCACUCACACCACUGCAGUCAUCUAUGAAGCCACCGUGGACAAAUAUGUCAAACUGAAGAUGCACAAAUAAUUUUAAGUUCAGCUCUCAGGGAUUCGAGGGGCAUGAAAGUUCCUGCAGCAAAUCCUGAAUAAAGAGUUCAUUAAAC